Molecule: ribosomal RNA, 194 nt
Filed under: uncultured bacterium
Lineage: Bacteria
Description: partial 16S ribosomal RNA
Rfam family: Bacterial small subunit ribosomal RNA
Source: RNAcentral
CUCGACUGCACGAAGCUGGAAUCGCUAGUAAUCGCGGAUCAGCACGCCGCGGUGAAUACGUUCCCGGGCCUUGUACACACCGCCCGUCACACCAUGGAAGUCUGCAAUGCCCGAAGCCGGUGGCCUAACCACUUAUGUGGAAGGAGCCGUCUAAGGCAGGGCAGAUGACUGGGGUGAAGUCGUAACAAGGUAGC